ACGCUCGACACCUACGGGAGGCAGCAGUGGGGAAUAUUGCACAAUGGGGGAAACCCUGAUGCAGCGACGCCGCGUGGAGGAAGAAGGUCUUCGGAUUGUAAACUCCUGUUGUUGGGAAAAGAGGAUGGUACCCAACAAGGAAGUGACGGCUAACUACGUGCCAUCAGCCGCGGUAAUCUGAGCGGGCUGGCAAGGC
This 196-nucleotide ribosomal RNA is filed under the name uncultured bacterium. RNAcentral describes it as "partial 16S ribosomal RNA". It matches the Rfam family "Bacterial small subunit ribosomal RNA", at positions 328 to 539 of the family's 1533-position model. The record is from RNAcentral.